This is a non-coding RNA of Podarcis muralis (Common wall lizard), 2836 nucleotides long. The record is from RefSeq and is a predicted model, not a curated record. Lineage: Eukaryota; Metazoa; Chordata; Lepidosauria; Squamata; Lacertidae.
GCAUCUCUGGGGGGCUCCUUGCUGCGAGGAUAGGAGGAAGGGGCCUCGCUUGGCCUCAUCCAGUAGCCAAGCUUUUCCUAAGUCCUUAUGGAGCCUCCCGGUCCAGGGGCGGCCUUUCUGCACCCCCAGGUUCUUAGAAUCAUUUGCACUGUAUGCAGAUCAGCUUGUUAUAUGAAGUCUGAAGCCUGCAAAGCUUAUCAUGCGGAAGCGUGCAUGCGUGUAUGUUGGGCACGGGUGUGACUGGGGGUGUACCGAGAAAUCGUUUGAAAUGUUUGCAGGGAUAUUGGAAAACCGCUACAAUGAGUUGUAUGGAAACUCAGCUAGGGGGACUCGAGGAAGUCAUCCAGUAAUGAUAAUUAAAUUGGAAUUUUAACAGUUAGGAUAUAUGUUUGUUCGUUUGUCUUUUUUAGAUUGUAAUGUUUUUCUUUUAUGUUUGUUAUAAAUUUGGAAAAUUAAUUUAAAAAAUUGGGGGCGUGAUGAAAUGUUUGCAGGGAUCGUAACAGUUUUCCACAGGAGAGCCGAGGCAAAGAUCAGUUUUGCAAAUACGGUUUUGCAGAGAUGUCACCGCACAAAACAGUUACAAUCCCUGCAAAACCGUCUCUGCCUCAGCUCUCUCCCCCUCCCCCUGCAGCCACAGCCAAUUGCCCAACAGCCUGCAAAGCAGCAAGCUCCUCAGACGCUGCAAAAAACACCAACGGGGUUAUUUACUUCAGAGUAGUGGAGGGGGGGGGAUCUUGCCCUGCCCCACUUCUGUGCAUGUGUUGCGCAUGUUAAGGUGGGUAAGAUGCUGCCUAGCUGCCUCUCAGACAUGAAAUUCUUGCUCAAGAGUAAAAGAGCAGAUUGCUAUGCCCUUAAAGCCAAACCGUACCUCUUUUCUGCCUUCCCUUCCCUUUCCCAGACAUGAGGCUAUUGCUUUUGUGUCCUAAUAGGGGUAAAUGGAAGGGAAGAGAUUUAACUGGCUGCUUUAUGCUCUCCGAUGGGAGAUGGCUGCAUGGCCCAUCCAUCACAGCUGCUUGAGUUGAGGUUCCUUCAUUGCAGGGGUUGGACUAGAUGACCCUCAGAGGUCCCUUCCAACUCUGAUUCUGUGUCCCAAAGGUGAUGCAAGCAUUCUCUGAGCUGUGUACUGCCAGGGAAGCUUCAGUUUCCCGUGUGCUCUGAAAUGGCUCAGUCCUUGCUUUUAUGUGCUGUAUUGCUCUUUAAAAAAAGAAAGAAUUAUGGGUUCUUUGACUAUGAAAACCUAUAUACGGAUAAUCAAGUUUCUUUUAGUUUGUCCUAGAUUUCCAAAGCCCUAUAAGCUGCUCAAAUUGUUAGGCAAUUUGGCAUCUUUUAUUUUCAGACCCCCUCACUGAUCAACUAAAUUACAUGGUUUCUUUUCAUCUUUUAAAUAUAUGGGACACGCCUAACAGUAGUUUUAAAGAUGAAAAGGAUUCAAAUAAAACUUCCCCCAAAAUGCAAGUGGGAGCAAUUGGUAAACAAAACAAAACAAAAGCAAAUACACCUCAAGGCUGCAAUCCUAAAUAGUUAUUAAGGAAUUGGCCCCAUUUGAACACAGCGGUACUUCAGAGUGAAAAACUUAAACCCAAUGAGUAACCUAGGAUUGAGUUUCAUGUAGCUCUAGAAUGAUCUGCUUCACUCAAAUUUUUCAGUGCAACUAAUGGGAAUAUUUGUUUAGCUAUUUUUAAAAGUGCUGACUGUGUUUGACGGACACAUCUAUCUUUAGGCAAGAAGAGGAAAAUAGAGGAAAUGGAUGUGAAACAAGAAUGUCUUGGUACCGCUGACCUGGUGGUUUAUGGGCUCGCAUGGGAAACGUCCGAGCGCGAACUGGAGGAGUUCUUCAGCAGAUUUGGAGCAGUUCUCAAGAGUCCAGGUGAUGACUGAUUGCAGAUCCAGCCAGUCGAAGCGGAUCGGACUGGUGAGAUUUGCAGACUACGAAGCACAGAUGAAAGUCAUGGUAGAGAGGCUUGGAGCGCCACAUUCGAUCCCAACUUCUGAAAUAGAACCUCAAGGAAGCUUCCUUGCGAUUUAAGCCGAAGUGUCAUGUUAAUCUCUCACGGUGUUUGCUCAGAAGCACAGAUGAAUCCAGAGAUGGUUGUUCUUUUUCUCUCCAUUUCUCCAAAAAAGGAGUGUCUUCUAAGCUUGACGUAAGUUCUGUUCCCGGUGGCUUUACUGCACAGGCACACGGAAAUGUGUGAAGUGUUCAUAGCAGAAGGGCUUCUGUGCAAGAGAGCAGAUAUGUGUGUACACAACUCUGCAUGCAGUAUGUUGGUUAUUAAAACAGCUAGACAAAAACAUUUGUAUUAAUUAAAAUCUAAGGACUGCUGCUGCUGCACUUCCCAGCAAGGACCACCCUGCUGAGAGUCUGAGGGGCCUGAUCCUGCCUCUCUCCACCUGGCCCAGGGCGGGGCCUGACAGGCUUCAUAAGGACUGCUGCUGCCCAGCAAGAGGCCAACUUCAGAGGAAUUUUCAAAUCCGAGGAAGCUGUGUGUUCGGGGUUGCACCAAAGACAUGAAUGCAAAUGAUACUUGUGAGCUUAUUUGCCGGUUUGGAGAAGUCACUGAUGUCUUCAUUGAAUAACCCUUCGGAGGCUUUGCCUUUGUUGCAUUUGCUGAUGAUCAGAGCCAGGAAGCAGCAAUGCCAUGAUGAGGAGAACUCCUGUCACCCUCGCGCAACAUAGAGGGCGUUACAUCUACCACAGCUCCCAAGCAGUGUUAGAAACUGGGAAAGAAAAGCACAUGAGAAGCACAUGCUUUUAUGCAACUGUUUGAAUGUUUCGUUAUUGUUGUAAGUCUGUUUUGAAGAAAGUUCUGUUAGUAAAGUUCCUUUUUCUGGAACCAUA